ACUAAUUAGAAACACAGGGGCCGGAAAAAUCCGCCCUCCCGAUUGACGAACUGAAGCCAGGACAGACUAUGCGUUGGUGGGUCGUUCCCCCACCGGCGUGAAGGUGCCAAAAAACGCAGGCAAAGAUCUGCUUCAAGGCACCGGCUUCUCAUCAAUCUUCGAGGGUAGCCUGCGCUACCCUCUUUUUUUUAUCUC
Molecule: small RNA, 195 nt
Organism: Beauveria bassiana D1-5
Lineage: Eukaryota; Fungi; Ascomycota; Sordariomycetes; Hypocreales; Cordycipitaceae
Rfam family: sroC RNA
About the family: This family consists of a number of bacterial sroC RNA genes of around 160 bases in length. sroC is found in several Enterobacterial species.
Source: Rfam